RNAcentral lists this unclassified non-coding RNA (2241 nucleotides) under Hevea brasiliensis (rubber tree). Lineage: Eukaryota; Viridiplantae; Streptophyta; Magnoliopsida; Malpighiales; Euphorbiaceae. The record is from RNAcentral.
CGAGAACAUAGGCUUAGCACUUCAGUAAUUAAGAGAGUUGUUAUGGUCUUCAGGGUUUUAUGUGCUACUGUAUAAGAUAACCAAAAGAUAGAUUUUUGGCCUUGUAAAGAAGCCUGUGCCUGAACUUUAAGCAUUAGCAAUUGAGGAUCACUUGACAAACAAGGUGCAUGCUUGGACAAACCAGAUUGAUUCUGAAACACACUAUCUUAAAAUUACAAGUUAAAAUUGAAGACAGAAUAAAAUUUGAUACGGAAAUAAGGGAGACAGAUGCGAAAGAGGGAACUUCAAAUGCCUCGUGGACUGUAAAAUUUUCUUAAGCAUAGAGUAACAAGAGGUAUCCAUAGCUAGUUAAACCCUUGAUUGCACAAGGCAAAGAAACAAGCUAUGAAAUAUUGAGAUUAUUGAGUGUCGAAAGGAUGGAAACUCUCUGAUAGGUGUGACCCAGGGAGUAAAUGGGUGCUAUGGGCAUAUCGCAUUUGUCUGGGAUCGAACCCCAUCAGCUUUGUCUCAGCUUGAAACCUUGUCACUGGCAUGAAGGAAUCUGAGGCGCGACGCAUUCGUGGAUCAAAACUUGCCUUAUCAUUUGUUUUGUAAGCAUCUCCUGCAACUCUUGCAGCCUUGUGGCUAUUACACCCUAACAAAUUGCUGGAACGGCGCCUUGGGGUGUCUUCACUAUUUCCAGAUCUUGCAUUUACGGUUGUAAGAAAGGUUUUGACAGGACUUGAUACUGUUGCGGGUGGCCUUAGCUCAUCAUAAUCGGACAUUACAGAGAAGUCAGCAGCACUGGCAGUGACCACACUCCACUCUAUGCUAGCCUCGCUUGGUGCAUAGCAAUUUGUUGGGGUGAGAUAGCCAGAGAUGACAUCUGAUCCUUGUCUUGGAAGAAAUGGCUCAACUUUUCCAGUCAGGCUCUCAAUCUCGAAUAAGUCUGAACUUGCAUCGCUCUCAUUAUCAUUGUAAACUCCAACCGAUGCAGCAGAAUAAUCGAUUUCCUCCAUUCUCGGAGCUGCAUCCCAAGACAACAUGGAUAGCCUCCUCUCAAUUUUGAAGGACUUGCUUCUCUUGUCAUGUACUGGGGAUCCAAAGACCUCCAGUGAUUUCCGUGGCUUUAUUGCUUCCUCUUGUCGAAGUUGCAAUUUUUUGGGUAGAAUUCCUGCCUCAGAAUUUGAAGUUGGGAAAGUAAAACAGUUUUCUUUGUUCAUUCCAAUUCCCAACUUCUCCAAAUUCUGGCAAUGGAUCUCCUCCUCGACCCGUGAUCCUGAGCGUGGUUUAUGAUCCAGAUCAAGACUAGCCUUAAUGAGUUCUUCUGUAAUCACCUUGCCUUGAAGAAUAUCAGUAUUAGGACUUUUCUUGAAACUGAUCUCACCAAAAUGUUCAUCAUCAACAUCAAUAGAAUCCUUAUCAGAACAAGAGCAUUUGCAGCCAAGGCCAGCAAGAAUAUUCUUUCCAAUCUUUCCAUGCACCUUGCUUGUCUUUGUUUGUGAAGUCUUUCUGUGAACGCUUCGCAGCAACGCGCUCUGGCUGUUCCUACUGGAUUCAGAAUAAAUACUCGAAGUUGCAGAAUGAACUUUGGGUUUUAUAGGGACCAUAUGAUCAUUUAAUUGUUCAUCUUUCUUUGGUGGAAGGUGGUAUUUUCUCGGAGUUAUAUUGUUGGAAAUUCUUGGACUGUCCUCAUCUAUCCCUCCAUUGAAGUAUUUCUCAGCACCGAAUACACCAAUUUCUCCAUCUUCUUUAUUUUGUCCAACGUAAUGAUGAUCCUCUACAUCCUGAGCACUAACAUUUUGAUUCGAUUCUGCAAGUUUCCGAACGAAGAUAUCCUCUGAGUUGCUCAGGAAGGAAGAGAAGGAAACAUCACGAAGGUUGUUUUCCAAGGACGAUGCUUGUGUGAAUCUAGCAGCUGAGGUAAAGGUGGCCAUAGCCAUGAAGUCUUGCAAAUAAAUUGUGCUUCACACAAAAUGACACUAGAAAGUAAUGUGUAGAAGCAGGAAAAAACUCAAUAGGAAGCACACAAAGUUACAAAAAGGAAAACGAGAAGGACCCAACAACACAAAAGAGUUUAGAACUGAAAAAGGAGCAAUCAAAAGUCCUUGAAGAGACAAGAAGAAUUUGGAUUUGAAAAUGAAGAAAGCUAUAGCCAGAUGAGGUCUCCUUCUCCACCAAACUGAAAGAAACUAAACGUGGAGGAGCAGUGGAGCAAACAAGAAAUAAAAUGGAAGAAAGAGCUUUAGUUUUAGAAAUUUG